This is a long non-coding RNA of Siniperca chuatsi (mandarin fish), 1172 nucleotides long. RefSeq lists it as uncharacterized. The record is from RefSeq and is a predicted model, not a curated record. Lineage: Eukaryota; Metazoa; Chordata; Actinopteri; Centrarchiformes; Sinipercidae. The transcript is spliced from 3 exons.
CCAAGAGGCUUGCUUGGUGAAGAUAAGCAAGCCAUGAGGCUGACAUUCCGAAGUUUGGACUCAUGAAGCAAGCUUUGGAGAUGACGUUGAGAGGUGUAGACAAAAAGCCAGUGUUUGUGCUCUUUGUUUGAAUGUGACACACAAAACAAGGCUGGCCACAUCGUGACAUAAAAAAAGGUAGAGGUGUGCAUUCAGGAUCUGCUGUAAUUGGUGUAUGAGGUUAUACCCCUCUAUGACAAGAUGCACAAAUACUGAACUGUAUGCUUGUAUGAUUCAGUGACGUUGCAAACCGCUUCAGGCCUUUAUGCUUUUGAAUAAAGGUCUUUAAAAACUCACUUGGACAAGAGCAAGCUACUACAGUUGAGGAUGGGACUACAGAGCUUUUCUUCACACAGAGAAGGCCACAGAGUGGCCACAGUGGCCACUAACAAGGGGCAUUGUUGGAAUAUUUUGGAGCAACCUCCGCUGCACCAGGACAAUCUACCUCAUCAGCUGACAUGACUGCUGCUGAGGGAACAUCUUCAGAGAUGUCAGGGGCAUCUACGCCCUCCUCUGAUGAGACUGCAGCUGCAGAGGUCAUAACAGAGAUCAGUAAGGCAUCCACUCACAAUAUCCCCUCUACCUAUGCGGUCUACAUGUUUCCUGAGCUGGACUGGUUCUGGCUACACAUACUCACUCUGCUGAAUGGCAGGUAAACAUGAGACAGAGUGUAAAGAGAAUGCAGAUUAUCACCCAAACCAAAAACUGAUUACCUCAGCUCAAGACAGAAAUGAGGGUGUAAUCAGUGAAAUUCUUAUGAAAAAGAGAUUGCUGGACCCAAAUGCAAGACUCAGAGAGAUGUUAGUAGAAUACGAACUCAGUUUAUUUGAGGAUUUUGAGAUGAGGAGAAUGAUCUGGUGGAGUGGAGAAGCAGAACAGGCAGUGAGGGCUGUUCCGUAACUUGAGGAGUUGUCUCAGCGUGGUGGAGAGGCUGGCAGACAAUGUAGACCGACACGUGGACUCUGGGAAUUGUUUGGCAUGGCAGAGAGCAGAGCAGGUAGCAGGAAUCUUCAGACAAGAGGCGAACCUGAGCACAGGGAAACAACAGGUCAGGCAGGAAUCCAAACACAUGAAGCAAUAUCACAAGACUAGAGUUACUUGGCAGUUCCGUUACCACGUAGGCUAUGGUGAUU